RNAcentral lists this ribosomal RNA (277 nucleotides) under uncultured Prevotella sp. RNAcentral's name for it is "partial 16S ribosomal RNA". It matches the Rfam family "Bacterial small subunit ribosomal RNA", at positions 79 to 356 of the family's 1533-position model. The record is from RNAcentral. Lineage: Bacteria; Pseudomonadati; Bacteroidota; Bacteroidia; Bacteroidales; Prevotellaceae.
CUUUCCUUGACGACGACUGGCGCACGGGUGAGUAACGCGUAUCCAACCUUCCCAUGACCACGGGAUAACCCGUUGAAAGACGGCCUAAUACCGUAUGACGUCGUUUGCCGACAUCGAAAGACGACCAAAGGUUUGGCGGUGAUGGAUGGGGAUGCGUCUGAUUAGCUUGUUGGCGGGGUAACGGCCCACCAAGGCUACGAUCAGUAGGGGUUCUGAGAGGAAGGUCCCCCACAUUGGAACUGAGACACGGUCCAAACUCCUACGGGAGGCAGCAGCG